CUCUUUGCAUCCCUGCUAAACAGGGUAUCGUUCUCUUCAAUUCAGGAUACGAAAAUUCUUGCUAAAUAUCCUUCUUGUGGCUUUCAAUGGCUGCUUUUCCUUCUGCACAGAAUUUUACGAAUACCCAGAUGCAGAAUUUUGGGUUUCAAGGCACAGAGGUGAAAGCAGAGUCAGUAGAAUCACAAGUGAUUGUUACCCUUUUGAUUAAACACCUCCCUGAAGAUAUCCCUUUUGACACACUUUCAAGACUUUUCUCUCAUUAUGGUGCUUUCUCUGUCCGCCCUUGCAAUUCUGGAAGAUUGAGAAAUUGUGCCUUUGUGGAUUUCCAAAGUGAAGGACUGGCUUAUCAAGCGCAUCGUCAGUUAAAUGGGCUGAGGUUUCUUGGCAAGGUCUUAUCGGUGGAGAGAGCUAGUAAGCUAAAUGAGGAUAGUAAAUUUAAACAAAGUGAGGCUCAACAAGGAAAGGAUUCUGUACUACCAACAUCUUUGAUGAAGGAUGCUUCUGUGACUAGAGAUGUCAUUGAAGGUUCAAAUUUUGGGUCCUUACCUGCUAGUGAACCAAUUGCACCAAGGCUUGGUGUUGACUAUCCAUUUCCUCCUCACUUGGAGUAUGCUUACCCUCCACCAGAUGGAAACAUUCUGACCAACAUUGUAAAUGCUCUUAUUGCUGUUCCUCGCUUCUAUACACAGGUGUUGCAUUUGAUGAACAAAAUGAAUAUUCCAGCUCCAUUUCGAAUGGCCCUACCCACUCCACCUCUACCACUGCCACCACCCUCUCCUCCACCACCACCCCCUCCUCCAUGUUUAACUGAAAAUUCUUCACUGGCAGAGCAAUCUAGUAGCGAGUCAGAAAUGGAGUCUUCGGAUGAGGAGGUUGAUGAUAAAGCCCCUUAUGGAGCCUCAGGAGCUGUUAAACAAAGAAGAAAACGCAUUAAACGGAAAGCAAUUGUAGGACCUGCAGCUGAUAAAGACGUGGUUCAUGAAUCUGUUGGCCUGAAACCUGCCUCCUUGGUCCCAAAAGAAAUUCCAAUUAUAAAGAAAAAGAAUACCGUGCUGCAGAUUAAGAUCGCACCAAAAGUAACUCAUAAUGAAUAUAAGGAUGAUAGCAUUAUGACAGAAUCUGAGGACCCAGGCACAGAGGGUUCAGAUCAGAAACACUAUGCAACUGCAGAAGAAAUAGAGAGUAAAAGGCUCGUUCCAGAGGAAAUUUUAUCACUUCCAAAGUUUAAGAACUACACAGUUGGGAAUCCUGCAUCUGUUCUGUACAUAAAGAACCUUGACAAAGAAGUGGUUGCUGAUGAUUUCUUCUACAUAUUUGGAUCACUAUUUGGAAGCAUUGAUGCAGCUAAAAGUGGCCUCAGUGUCAAGUUGAUGCAGGAGGGAAGAAUGAGGGGUCAAGCUUUUGUAACGUUUUCAUCAGUUGAACUUGCCCAUCAAGCUCUGAAUCUAGUGAAUGGAUAUGUAUUCAAAGACAAACCGAUGAUCAUACAAUUUGGUCGGAAUCCUUCAGCUGCCAAGCCAAAUUAGACAGACUUGUCAUGAAUAGGAGCUGUUUAUACUAUGCCACUCAUGGUUCGUGGUAUCUGCAUCCUCUGGCUGUAGGAAGUUGAAAAUGUCAAUAUUUCUGUGCAUGGGGAGGAUGUGCAGAGCAAGCUGCCAUGGAUGGGCAUUUUCAGUUGCUGCUGUCAAUAUUAAGCAGCUCAAAUUGGAAAAGAGUAGAGGGAGGGGGAGGAGGUUAUGACAUGCAAUGCUGACUGACUAGUACUAAUCUUAUAUACCAGCGAGAAGAAAAGGAUGACCUCUUGUUUCCGGCAUGCAGAAACGUUUAAAUUCACAACUUUCUGAUACGGAGCUUUCUUUUUCUGUAACAUUCUGGAGCGUUGAGGGAUCUGGACAUGGUAAAUUGAAAGAGAUGUUUGUGAAAGAGAAAUUGAACCAAACAAUAGUUGUCAAUCUCUCCUGUCCUGUACUUCAUCAAAUGGGGCAUUCGAAAUUGUGCAGGCUUCAUGAAAUGGUUAGAUAAGCAGAAAAUAGUUAUUCUCA
RNA transcript from Populus trichocarpa (black cottonwood), 2042 nucleotides. It is a transcript of the gene named U11/U12 small nuclear ribonucleoprotein 65 kDa protein, with no coding region annotated. NCBI's taxonomy places the organism in Eukaryota, Viridiplantae, Streptophyta, Magnoliopsida, Malpighiales, Salicaceae. The record is from RefSeq and is a predicted model, not a curated record. The transcript is spliced from 12 exons.